Molecule: unclassified non-coding RNA, 260 nt
Filed under: Bombus terrestris (buff-tailed bumblebee)
Lineage: Eukaryota; Metazoa; Arthropoda; Insecta; Hymenoptera; Apidae
Description: misc RNA ENSBTSG00005036138.1
Source: RNAcentral
AUCUAAAGCUGUUGCCCGUGGACCGGUUUGUCUGUUUCUCUCAGCGCGUGUAGGCAGAAAAGUUCGAUCCAUCGAUCGACGCUCUCGUGGCCAUGGAAUGUGCUUUAAUACACUUACAAGUAUGAUCGUACGUGUGGUACAUGCAUAUAUAGAUUUUCGAAAGUCCUGUCUAAACGAAAGCGGUCAGCCGGUGUCUUUAUCGGGCGAAAUGCCGGUGCCGGUUUGGGACUGCUCUGACCUGGGCCUGUUAGGCGAGCCCC